ACGGUGGAGAUAUAUCAAUUCCCUUCUGACUGAGUUCACCUGCUAUAUCAGCACAGGAUUUCUCUCUCCCAUAUCAAUCAUGGUGUACCUUGGCGAGGAUAUGUUCUUGGGCUGACUGCUGUUUUGUGGGUCGUCCAGAGCGAGGAGCAUCUUUUAAUCAGUCAUCACAGAUAUAAAGAUAGGGAAGAUCUGGAUUAAAGCCACAAUCUUGAGCAGUUCUAUAGAUACAAUUGAUGGUUUGAAUAGAUAGCUGAGUGAAAUUGCUGAUUUCUUUUGUAGUUUUACCACCAAAAGACUUCAGAGCCACUAUCACAGCACAGGUUGAGAUAUCUGUAUUGGGAGCCAUAUUGAAAUAAAAGAGA
Molecule: small RNA, 362 nt
Filed under: Histoplasma ohiense
Lineage: Eukaryota; Fungi; Ascomycota; Eurotiomycetes; Onygenales; Ajellomycetaceae
Description: hypothetical lncRNA
Source: RNAcentral